GCAAGUCGAACGAACCCUUCGGGGUGAGUGGCGCACGGGUGCGUAACGCGUGGGAAUAUACCCCUGGGUGCGGAAUAACGUAGAGAAAUUUACGCUAAUACCGCAUAAUAACUUCGGUUCAAAGAUUUAUCGCCGAGGGAUUAGCCCGCGUUAGAUUAGAUAGUUGGUGAGGUAAUGGCUCACCAAGUCGACGAUCUAUAGCUGGUCUGAGACACGGACC
RNAcentral lists this ribosomal RNA (220 nucleotides) under uncultured bacterium. RNAcentral describes it as "partial 16S ribosomal RNA". It matches the Rfam family "Bacterial small subunit ribosomal RNA", at positions 57 to 305 of the family's 1533-position model. The record is from RNAcentral.